GACGAACGCUGGCGGCGUGCUUAACACAUGCAAGUCGAACGGAAAGGCCCUGCUUUUGUGGGGUGCUCGAGUGGCGAACGGGUGAGUAACACGUGAGUAACCUGCCCUUGACUUUGGGAUAACUUCAGGAAACUGGGGCUAAUACCGGAUAGGAGCUCCUGCUGCAUGGUGGGGGUUGGAAAGUUCCGUCGGUUGGGGAUGGACUCGAGGCUUAUCAGCUUGUUGGUGGGGUAGUGGCUUACCAAGGCUUUGACGGGUAGCCGGCCUGAGAGGGUGACCGGCCACAUUGGGACUGAGAUACGGCCCAGACGGCAACGGGAGGAAACAGUGGGGAAUAUUGCAAAAUGGGCGGAAGCAUGAUGCAGCAACGCCGAGUGCGAGAAGACGGCCUUCAGGUUGUAAACAGCUUUCGCCUGUGACGAAGCGUGAGUGACGGUAAUGGGUAAAGAAGCACCGGCUAACUACGU
This 467-nucleotide ribosomal RNA is filed under the name uncultured bacterium. Its description in RNAcentral is "partial 16S ribosomal RNA". It matches the Rfam family "Bacterial small subunit ribosomal RNA", at positions 28 to 506 of the family's 1533-position model. The record is from RNAcentral.